This 385-nucleotide ribosomal RNA is filed under the name Chloropicon mariensis. RNAcentral describes it as "partial Bacterial large subunit ribosomal RNA". It matches the Rfam family "Bacterial large subunit ribosomal RNA", at positions 2166 to 2550 of the family's 2925-position model. Lineage: Eukaryota; Viridiplantae; Chlorophyta; Chloropicophyceae; Chloropicales; Chloropicaceae. The record is from RNAcentral.
GGACGCCAGUUCAUGUGGAGCCAACGUUGAAAUACCACUCUGGUCGUACUAGAUGUCUAACCUAGGUCCGUUAUCCGGAUCAGGGACAGUGCCUGAUGGGUAGUUUAACUGGGGCGGUUGCCUCCUAAAAUGUAACGGAGGCGCUCAAAGGUUCCCUCAGAAUGGUUGGAAAUCAUUCGCAGAGUGUAAAGGCACAAGGGAGCUUGACUGUGAGACAGACAUGUCGAGCAGGGACGAAAGUCGGGACUAGUGAUCCGGCGGCACAUUGUGGAAUGGCCGUCGCUCAACGGAUAAAAGGUACCCCGGGGAUAACAGGCUGAUCUUGCCCAAGAGUCCAUAUCGACGGCAUGGUUUGGCACCUCGAUGUCGGCUCGUCGCAUCCUGG